CCUACGGGAGGCAGCAGUGGGGAAUAUUGGGCAAUGGGCGCAAGCCUGACCCAGCAACGCCGCGUGAAGGAAGAAGGCUUUCGGGUUGUAAACUUCUUUUGUCAGGGACGAAGCAAGUGACGGUACCUGACGAAUAAGCCACGGCUAACUACGUGCCUGCAGCCGCGGUAAUAGGUAGGUGGCAAGCGUUAUCCGGAUUUAUUGGGUUUAAAGGGUGCGUAGGCGGAUCGUUAAGUCAGUGGGCAAAUUGAGGGGCUCAACCCCUUCCCGCCAUUGAAACUGGCGUUCUUGAGUGGAAGAGAAGUAUGCGGAAUGCGUGGUGUAGCGGUGAAAUGCAUAGAUAUCACGCAGAACCCCGAUUGCGAAGGCAGCAUGCCGGCUUCCGACUGACGCUGAAGCACGAAAGCGUGGGGAUCGAACAGGAUUAGAUACCCGUGUAGUC
Molecule: ribosomal RNA, 442 nt
Filed under: uncultured bacterium
Lineage: Bacteria
Description: partial 16S ribosomal RNA
Rfam family: Bacterial small subunit ribosomal RNA
Source: RNAcentral